Molecule: ribosomal RNA, 162 nt
Filed under: Primulina brachytricha var. magnibracteata
Lineage: Eukaryota; Viridiplantae; Streptophyta; Magnoliopsida; Lamiales; Gesneriaceae
Description: 5.8S ribosomal RNA
Source: RNAcentral
GAACGUAGCGAAAUGCGAUACUUGGUGUGAAUUGCAGAAUCCCGUGAACCAUCGAGUCUUUGAACGCAAGUUGCGCCCGAUGUCUUCWGGCUGAGGGCACGUCUGUUUGGGCGUCACGCAUCUCGUCAACCMCUCUCACGUCGUCUUCUUCACCACUCAAAR